This 270-nucleotide long non-coding RNA is filed under the name Gossypium raimondii (Peruvian cotton). Its description in RNAcentral is "long non-coding RNA (GRAI_LNC005467)". Lineage: Eukaryota; Viridiplantae; Streptophyta; Magnoliopsida; Malvales; Malvaceae. The record is from RNAcentral.
UAAAUCUUUUUUACAACUUGCUAUCCCCCCCAUUUUGCUUGCUGCUCAUGGUUCUUUUUAUUGCAGGUACAUGCGUGUAUGGGAAUUGCUGCGACGUGGGGCAUGCACGGCGCUGGAGGUUGCUGAGACGUGGGAUGUUGUUGCGAGGGAAGAACGUGGGCAGUUGCGGCAUAGGGCGAUGGUGGCGUCAAGGCUCUCUGCUGGUUAGGCUAGGGAUUUGGGUUAAUGACUUGGGCUUGUAAUGGGUUUGGGCCUUAGGCUUAGUUGGGU